GAUGAACGCUGGCGGCGUGCCUAAUACAUGCAAGUCGAGCGAACAGACGAGGAGCUUGCUCCUCUGACGUUAGCGGCGUACGGGUGAGUAACACGUGGAUAACCUACCUAUAAGACUGGGAUAACUUCGGGAAACCGGAGCUCAUACCGGAUAAUAUAUUGAACCGCAUGGUUCAAUAGUUAAAGACGGUUUUGCUGUCACUUAUAGAUGUAUCCGCGCCGCAUUAGCUAGUUGGUAAGGUAACGGCUUACCAAGGCAACGAUGCGUAGCCGACCUGAGAGGGUGAUCGGCCACACUGGAACUGAGACAAGGUCCAGACUACUACGGGAGGCAGCAGUAGGGAAUCUUCCACAAUGGGCGAAAGCCUGACGGAGCAAAGCCGCGUGAGUGAUGAAGGUCUUCGGAUAGUAAAACUCUGUUAUUAGGGAAGAACAAAUGUGUAAGUAACUAUGCACGACUUGUCGGUACCUAAUCAGAAAGCAACGGCUAACUACGUG
This 497-nucleotide ribosomal RNA is filed under the name uncultured bacterium. RNAcentral describes it as "partial 16S ribosomal RNA". It matches the Rfam family "Bacterial small subunit ribosomal RNA", at positions 28 to 507 of the family's 1533-position model. The record is from RNAcentral.